UCUGGUUGAUUCUGCCAGUAGUCAUACGCUCGUCUCAAAGAUUAAGCCAUGCACGUCUAAGUAUAAAUAUUUUACUUUGAAACUGCGAAUGGCUCAUUAUAUCAGUUACAGUUUAUUUGAUAGUCCCUUACUAUUUGGAUAACCGUAGUAAUUCUAGAGCUAAUACAUGCGUCAAUACCCUUCUGGGGUAGUAUUUAUUAGAUUGAAACCAACCGCUUCGGCGUGAUGUGGUGAUCCAUAAUAAGCUAGCGGAUCGCAUGGCUUUGCCGGCGAUGGGUCAUUCAAGUUUCUGCCCUAUCAGCUUUGGAUUGGUGGGUAUUGGCCACCAAUGGCUUUAACGGGUAACGGGAAAUUGGGGUUUGAUUCCGGAGAGGGGGCCUGAGAGACGGCCACCACAUCCAAGGAAGGCAGCAGGCGCGUAAAUUACCCAAUCAUGACACAUGGAGGUAGUGACAAUAAAUAACAAUGCCGGGCCUUUGUAGGUCUGGCAAUUGGAAUGAGAACAAUUCAAACCCCUUAUCGAGGAUCAAUUGGAGGGCAAGUCUGGUGCCAGCAGCCGCGGUAAUUCCAGCUCCAAUAGCGUAUACUAAAGUUGUUGCAGUUAAAAAGCUCGUAGUUGGAUUUAUGGCGGUUCCCGGGGUCCAAUUUUUGGUACAUUCGGGGACUGCCAUCCUUGGGUGGAACCUGUGUGGAAUUAAGUUUUCGUGCAGAGGAUGCCCAUCGUUUACUGUGAAAAAAUCAGAGUGCUUCAAGCAGGCUUAUGCCGUUGAAUACAUUAGCAUGGAAUAAUAAAAUACGACUUCGGUACUAUUUUUUUGGUUUGCGCACCGAUGUAAUAAUUAAUAGGGACAAUUGGGGGUAUUCGUAUUCCGUUGUCAGAGGUGAAAUUCUUGGAUUUCCGGAAGACGAACUACUUCGAAAGCAUUUACCAAGGAUGUUUUCAUCAAUCAAGAACGAAAGUUAGGGGAUCGAAGAUGAUUAGAUACCAUCGUAGUCUUAACCAUAAACUAUGCCGACAAGGGAUUGGUGGGGCUUCGUUACGUCUCCAUCAGCACCUUAUGAGAAAUCACAAGUUUUUGGGUUCCGGGGGGAGUAUGGUCGCAAGGCUGAAACUUAAAGAAAUUGACGGAAGGGCACCACCAGGAGUGGAGCCUGCGGCUUAAUUUGACCCAACACGGGAAAACUUACCAGGUCCAGACAUAGUGAGGAUUGACAGAUUGAGAGCUCUUUCUUGAUUCUAUGGGUGGUGGUGCAUGGCCGUUCUUAGUUGGUGGAGUGAUUUGUCUGGUUAAUUCUGUUAACGAACGAGACCCCUGCCUGCUAAAUAGUCCAGUGAG
This 1337-nucleotide ribosomal RNA is filed under the name metagenome. RNAcentral describes it as "SSU rRNA". It matches the Rfam family "Eukaryotic small subunit ribosomal RNA", at positions 1 to 1367 of the family's 1831-position model. The record is from RNAcentral.